AGGCUUUUGAUCCUGGCUCAGAUUGAACGCUGGCGGCAUGCUUUACACAUGCAAGUCGAACGGUAACAGGUCUUCGGAUGCUGACGAGUGGCGAACGGGUGAGUAAUGCAUCGGAACGUGCCCAGUCGUGGGGGAUAACGCAGCGAAAGCUGUGCUAAUACCGCAUACGAUCUGCGGAUGAAAGCGGGGGACCUUCGGGCCUCGCGCGAUUGGAGCGGCCGAUGUCAGAUUAGGUAGUUGGUGGGGUAAAGGCUCACCAAGCCAACGAUCUGUAGCUGGUCUGAGAGGACGACCAGCCACACUGGGACUGAGACACGGCCCAGACUCUACGGGAGGCAGCAGUGGGGAAUUUUGGACAAUGGGCGCAAGCCUGAUCCAGCAAUGCCGCGUGCAGGAAGAAGGCCUUCGGGUUGUAAACUGCUUUUGUACGGAACGAAAAGCUCUGGGUUAAUACCCUGGGAGAUCAUACGGUUACCGUUAAUAAUGCCACCGGCUA
RNAcentral lists this ribosomal RNA (496 nucleotides) under uncultured Comamonadaceae bacterium. RNAcentral describes it as "bacterial SSU rRNA". It matches the Rfam family "Bacterial small subunit ribosomal RNA", at positions 1 to 499 of the family's 1533-position model. Lineage: Bacteria; Pseudomonadati; Pseudomonadota; Betaproteobacteria; Burkholderiales; Comamonadaceae. The record is from RNAcentral.